This is a non-coding RNA of Acanthosepion pharaonis, 111 nucleotides long. NCBI's taxonomy places the organism in Eukaryota, Metazoa, Mollusca, Cephalopoda, Sepiida, Sepiidae. The record is from the annotation of a GenBank genome assembly.
UGUCUAUAUCACGUUGAAACAACGGUUCCCAUUAAAUCACUGAAGUGAAGCAACCUCAAGCCUAGCCAGUACCUAGAUGGGUGACUACUUAGGAAUACCAAGUACUGUAAG